CAACACGAAAACAAUAAAAAAAGCAAUCUUAAAUAGCGAUAUUUACCUGUCUGAUUGUUAAAUGGUUUAUUUCAUCUGAGUUACAAAACUCUUUGAAGUUUCUUAGAACGAAAUCAGCGGCUGUCUCAUGUAAACCAGUUAAACUAUGAAGAAUGAUAAAGAAGAUAUGGUACCGCCAAAUGACGAUUUACACAACUGAAAAGUGUUACCAGGAAUUAGGAGUUGUCCCAGAUCGCCCCGAAGCGGCCGCCCACCAAACGACGCAACUCCGAAAGCGGUUAUAAGCUCAAAUGUAAAUUACCUCGUAAUCGCCAACGGUUAAUGAGAAAAAUAACCACUGAUAUAAUAUAAUAAACCGUAAAUGGCUACGAACAGUGCGACAAUGCUCCGUUUGGUCGUCAAGGGUUGCACUCAACGACUUCUUCACAAACGGAAAGAUUUUCACUACUGAAGGUGCUCAUAAUCGUCAAAAUCAACGCCAGCUUAUUAAAAAGUUGAGAAGAAGUAGUGUGUUGUAAAAACUAUCACCUGUAGACACUUUCCAACUUCAGUAAUGGCGUGGGCAUGCAAUUGUGCUGCAGGAAAAACAAUUAGUUUGUGUUAGUAAGAGUGUCAAAAUUAAAAAAACUAUUUUAGGAGAUGUUCUGGAACCGUAGUCACUAUGUUUUCGCAGAGAUAGUUUUGUUCUGCAACAAGACUGGGUUCCUCUUUAUUUGGCUAGAUUCCUUACGGCACACAUUUCAUCUUUGUCCUGGCCUCCUAAUUUACUAAAUUUGAGCCCGCUGGAUUAAUCUAUCUGGCCAAUCUUGAAACAUAAGAUAAGGUACUGCACAAUCGACAUGUACUGCAUUGAAGUAUGGAAAAAGCAGUUUAUCAGUGCACGAAAUCCUAAGAAUUUGAGAUUCUUUCCAAAAGAGUAGAAGAACGGUAUUAUUGUUAAAAUCUCGAAAGGCCAUACCUGCUUAAAUAUGACAACUGGAAGGGGAUUUACAUGCUCCCUGGUGCCGUAAAAAUAAUAGCGAAAAUAAUCCACAAACGCAACAAAGAACACGUGGAAAGUUCCUAAAAGGUGACUAAAAGAGAUAGAAAUUUGUGGACUAGCAACUUGCAAACUUUGAAAUUAUACUGCUACCGAAACAUCAACUACGCCUCAGAUAGGCGACUAUGACCUUUGGCUAGCGAAAAGGCUUAUGAAAUUUGUGAAUGCUCUUCGACAACGAUAUCGUGGAUCUCCCGAAUGCUCACUUUCUCCAACUCGAGUGAGAACUCCAGCGAUAUAAGUCGGACAUUCUGGGCCUAAGCGAAUUAAGAUGGUGGAACUAUGGAGAGAACUCCUCUCCCUUUUGCGGCAAUGUGCUUUUGUACUCUGGAAUGCCAAGUGAUAGUACACGCGAAUUCUUAUAGUGCUCUCUUGUGCUGGCAGUCAGUUUCUGACUGGAUCAUUUCGGUCCAGGGUAAGGGGUAACACCACUGUAGAAUUUCUACGGAAACCUUAUUAAAACCUGUUCCAUGUCCGUCUGUCACAUGUACUUUUCUCAGAAACGACUAUACCGAUUGACACGAAAUUUGGCGAAAAGGUGGCAACUGUGAACGCCCAAACAUGGAGUGAGUAAUGUCUUUCUACGUUCAAUUAAAAUGAGGAGGGGGUCUUUAUGCAUGCAAAUGAGGAGAGUAUUUUUUCACCGAAUAUAUUCAUGUUGGAUAUCAAAUGAAAGGUUUGUACUUUUCGAUGCCAGUCUUAGUUUUGACAUUUGCUGGGAAAAACAAAGAACAGCGCCAAGCUUCUGGUUUCCCGACUUGUUUUUAUUGGCUUAAAAAAUACUUUGACCUCGCCUCGUUCAUGUCAAUAAAACGUGUCAAAAUUUUAAAUGCAUCUUUCUCAUAACACGAUUUCUUAAAAUGCCAGCAUAACUUGAACAAUUUUCAAUAUUUCUACUUGAAAAUUUAAGCACAUCUUCACAACAAAGAAGAAGAAACAUUUCGAAGAGAAUGACAUAGGGAAUUUCUGAUUACAACU
Molecule: long non-coding RNA, 2017 nt
Filed under: Hermetia illucens (black soldier fly)
Lineage: Eukaryota; Metazoa; Arthropoda; Insecta; Diptera; Stratiomyidae
Description: uncharacterized LOC119657259
Source: RNAcentral